GACGAACGCUGGCGGCGUGCCUAAUACAUGCAAGUUGAGCGCUGAAGGUUGGUACUUGUCCCGACUGGAUGAGCAGCGAACGGGUGAGUAACGCGUGGGGAAUCUGCCUUUGAGCGGGGGACAACAUUUGGAAACGAAUGCUAAUACCGCAUAAAAACUUUAAACACAAGUUUUAAGUUUGAAAGAUGCAAUUGCAUCACUCAAAGAUGAUCCCGCGUUGUAUUAGCUAGUUGGUGAGGUAAAGGCUCACCAAGGCGAUGAUACAUAGCCGACCUGAGAGGGUGAUCGGCCACAUUGGGACUGAGACACGGCCCAAACUCCUACGGGAGGCAGCAGUAGGGAAUCUUCGGCAAUGGACGAAAGUCUGACCGAGCAACGCCGCGUGAGUGAAGAAGGUGUUCGGAUCGUAAAACUCUGUUGGUAGAGAAGAACGUUGGUGAGAGUGGAAAGCUCAUCAAGUGACGGUAACUACCCAGAAAGGGACGGCUAACUACGUG
This 497-nucleotide ribosomal RNA is filed under the name uncultured bacterium. Its description in RNAcentral is "partial 16S ribosomal RNA". It matches the Rfam family "Bacterial small subunit ribosomal RNA", at positions 28 to 507 of the family's 1533-position model. The record is from RNAcentral.